RNAcentral lists this ribosomal RNA (445 nucleotides) under uncultured bacterium. RNAcentral describes it as "bacterial SSU rRNA". It matches the Rfam family "Bacterial small subunit ribosomal RNA", at positions 330 to 792 of the family's 1533-position model. The record is from RNAcentral.
GCCAGACUCCUACGGGAGGCAGCAGUGGAGAAUAUUGCACAAUGGGGGAAACCCUGAUGCAGCGACGCCGCGUGAGCGAUGAAGUAUUUCGGUAUGUAAAGCUCUCUCAGCAGGGAAGAAAAUGACGGUACCUGACUAAGAAGCCCCGGCUAACUACGUGCCAGCAGCCGCGGUAAUACGUAGGGGGCAAGCGUUAUCCGGAUUUACUGGGUGUAAAGGGAGCGUAGACGGCAUGGCAAGCCAGAUGUGAAAUACCGGGGCUCAACCCCGGGACUGCAUUUGGAACUGUUAAGCCGGAGUGUCGGAGAGGCAGGCGGAAUUCCUAGUGUAGCGGUGAAAUGCGUAGAUAUUAGGAGGAACACCAGUGGCGAAGGCGGCCUGCUGGACGAUAACUGACGUUGAGGCUCGAAAGCGUGGGGAGCAAACAGGAUUAGAUACCCCCGUA